Molecule: non-coding RNA, 21 nt
Organism: Caenorhabditis elegans
Lineage: Eukaryota; Metazoa; Nematoda; Chromadorea; Rhabditida; Rhabditidae
Source: Ensembl
UUUCAAUGAAGUUGAAUUUAA